This 68-nucleotide transfer RNA is filed under the name bovine gut metagenome. It matches the Rfam family "tRNA". Rfam says of the family: Transfer RNA (tRNA) molecules are approximately 80 nucleotides in length. Their secondary structure includes four short double-helical elements and three loops (D, anti-codon, and T loops). The record is from RNAcentral.
CAGAUGUAGUUUAGUGGUAGAAUACGACCUUGCCAAGGUUGUGGCGCGAGUUCAAUUCUCGUCAUCUG